AUGGAACAGUGGCGCUCUUAUCUGCAACUGAAAGAAUUCACUAUCAUUACUGAUCAGAAGGCCUUGGUCAGUCUGACAAAGCAGCGUUUGCAUACAGCUUGGCAGCAAAACGCUCUCACAAAGUUGUUUGGUUUGGGUUAUAAGAUCAUAUACAGAAAGGGAGAAGAUAAUAAGCUUGCUGACGCCUUGUCCAGACGCCCCCAUGUAUCAGGGGACUGUUAUGUUCUUUCUGAAAUUCAACCAGCUUGGGUGCAGGAAAUCAUGGACAACUAUACCUCAGAUCCUAAUGCUACAACAAUUUUGCAGAAGUUAGCAAUUGAUCAAACAGUUGAUCCUAACUUUACAUUGCAUGGACGACGAACUCCAUUUGAACUGGUGUAUGGGCAUGCUCCUCGUUACUUUGGCCUUUCUCCAGUGGAUGCUAUUGGCAGUUCAGAUGUUCAUCAGUGGUUGCGCGAUAGGCAUGUGGUCAUGGAGUCGGUCAAGCAACACUUAUUGCAUGCGCAGCAGCGCAUGAAAGUUCAGGCUGAUAAACACUGGACAGAAAGAUCUUUUGUGGUGGGGGACACAUUUUUUCUCAAGAUGCAGCCUUAUAUACAGUCCUCUAUAGCUCCGCGGGCAAACCACAAACUUGCAUUCAAAUAUUUUAGGCCUUUUGAAAUCUUGGCAAAGGUUGGUGCAGUGGCAUACAAGCUGGCCCUACCGGACAACUGCAGAGUACACCCAGUCUUCCAUGUAUCUCUUCUCAAACAUCAUGUUAAGCCGGAUCAGCAGGUGUUACCAACUCUGCCUUCGUCAGCAGCUCACAAGCAGGUGCCAUAUUGUUUCCUCGAUCAUCGCCUGGUACCGCGAGGGAACAAACUGGUAGCUCAAGUGCUGGUCAAAUGGAGCCACUCUCCGACUUCGAUGGCAACCUGGGAAGACCAAGACAUGCUGAAGCAACAAUUUCCGCGAGCACUGGCUUGGGGGCAGGCCAUUUUCUCUCUAGGGGGGUUGUCAGCGGCACUGACAUUGAAGCAGCGACAAGACCUGAAACGCUACAGGAGGAUCCGGCAAGCGGAAUGUAGGCCAGGCCUAAGAGGAGAGCCCAUGCACCAGCGAGGCUGCGAGGCCCAGAUAGAGGACGGAUUCCGGCCGGCGAAGGGGCAACCGGGCGUGGCGGCGGGAAUGGCCCUGUUAGGGUUUGAGAGGAGAAGACGGGGGAAAGGGAGAUGUGGCUUCCUGGAUUCAUCGCCUUCGGGCGGGGCUUCAGGCUGA
RNAcentral lists this ribosomal RNA (1257 nucleotides) under Triticum aestivum (bread wheat). RNAcentral describes it as "partial small subunit ribosomal RNA". Lineage: Eukaryota; Viridiplantae; Streptophyta; Magnoliopsida; Poales; Poaceae. The record is from RNAcentral.